UAGAGGUGAUGGGGAGCAAACCACACUGCCAUGUAUGUACCUAUGCAACAAUCUUGCAUGUUCUUCACAUGGACCCCAAAACCUAAAAUGCAACAAAAUAUUUAAAAAUGUAUAUCUAUAUAUAUUGGGAUUUGUUAACAUUUUAUUUUUUCUAAUUAUUUAUUCAGACUCAGAAAACAUUUUCAAUAAUUUUUCCCCAAAUUGCUCUCACUUAUUAAUUUUUGAUCUGCUAAUUUGUCACUAAUGUAUGUUUAUUAAUACUGUUUAUUUGGUAUAACUUACAAAUAAAUAAUGAAUUCUCCUGGAAAUAAUGCUCUUAAUAAAAGUUAUUAAUAAUGUUUAUAAGCCCAAUGCCAUGUGGUGACCUAAUGCCUUUUCUUCUUUUAAAUUUCCACUUAACCCUGCCUCCUUCUUACAAUAAAAAAUAUUCAUUCAUGGAUUAGUGAAUAACUGGUGAUAUGAAAUCCCAAACAUCUAUCAAGAGAUAUAUUUUCAAUAAUGUUUUUCUUUUUUAUUUGAUAUCUAUUUAUAAAACGUUUCAGUUUUGUGAUAAAUUUUAUAAAAGUAUUAUAAAGUAGUAAUAGUUAUAAUGAAAAGUCUAUCUUUGACUACAAUUUUAAAUUACAAUGAAACAUUUUAUAUGUCACAUGCAAACACAGAAGUGGAUUCAUAGUUUUUCAAAAACUCUUUUAGAAGGUAUGCCAGCAAAAUAUUAUAAAGUUUACAGUGGUAGCCAUGUGUGUAAUGAUUCAGAGUAAUUAAAUCCAUAAGUAGCAAAAUGUAUAAUAUGUAGCUCUGGUAUACCAAGAUAAUUUUGCUAGUCCUAUUGCUAGUAAGAUAUAUGCUUUAAGUUGGUAUUGUUUUUCUAGAAAUAGGGAUGGAUUUGAAUAGAGUGAUUUGUGUUUUCAAUCCUCCAGUGAUCAGUGACCUCCAUGUGUUUACAUAUUUGACAAAUGCCCAGGUUGGUCAAUUGUUAGCAAUAAGGAAAAUCUUACAUGAUUAUGUAAGUAUGUUUCCCUAGAUCUUGGCCUCCUAUUGCACAGAGAGGCUUAUUUCUAAGAGAAAUGUACCCACUGGGUCUUUCUUGGACAAUUCAUCAUAUAUUAUUAUGCAAAGUAAAAGCUGGCAAUAAAAAGCUUGUUUUUUUAAUUUUUUUAAAAAAGGAAAGAAAAACAGAGAAUUGGAUUAGUUUCAAUUUGUUUCAUUUAACUUGUAUUCUGUUAUUUCCAAGUUUCUGUUUGGAAAAUAUGAAAUGCCAGCAUUUUAUAUAAUGAUGUCACCACUAUAAAAUCAUUUUUAAAAUGUUUCCUUUGAGCUGUAGUCAGUUCUGCAAUAAGCUGAAUUGAGGCACUUGAAUCAGAUCCAAACAAAAAGAGCGUAAAUUGCCCACCAUUUUAAAUAAAAACUGAGUGUUUAUUUUGUUUUGUUUUUUAGUACCACAUUUGAUACUAGAAGCAGUUUGUUUAAACAUGAUCGUUUUUAUUUGAAAAGUGCAUUUCCCCUAAGAUAAGGCUUCACAUCAAAAGGAACAUUACAAACUUUCAUAAACAAUAAAGUCAAUCAGUUAAUUAUUCUUGGACCAGUAUAUUGACUUCUGGUGAGUUUCUACUAAUAUGCUUUUAAAAAGAACUGGAUGGUCUUACUUGCCAAAAUACCAAUAAAGGAAAACUCUACCAAAACCCAACGAAAAAAGCUAAUAGAAAAAAAAAAUGCCAUUUUUCAUUGUAUAGUAUGCAUCAUUUGGUAAGAUUAAAGAGCACUGAAAGAAAUAUUUUAUGUCAACUAAGCACAUGUUAAUGCAGUGAAUUCAAACUAAUCUAGGCAGUUAAUUCACAUAAUUGUGAGGAGGAGGAAGAAGUAAAAAGGGAGAGAGAAUAAAACCUAAGAGAAGGGUAAAUUGUUUUGCGAGUGAGGAAUAGAGCCAGAGGGAAUACAGACAUUCCCAAGAAUCUAUUUCUUUCCUGCCUGAAACUUCUAUGUUGAGAAUGAAGAGCUUCUCACACUGUGCUUAUAUCUGAAACCCAGAGAAAUACUGGAACCCGAGGAUCAGGAGAGAAUAAACAGAGAUUGAAAUCUAGGGGUCAUUUGAACUAGAGAGAUACAAUCCUCAGGUACAGAAACCAAUUUCAGGCUGUGACUACAAGUCACUGUCAUAGUAGUCAGAAAGACCUGGAAAGCAAGUGACUCAUGCAAUCAUUUUCUCAGUGAAAACCUGGGUACAUGCACAUGUCAGUUAUUGCUUGAAGUUCUAGAUAUAAAGUGAAGACAAAUAGUCUUUGCCUUCUAAGAGUGUAUAAUAUAGUGCCAGAGACAGCCAAGAAAACAGUUACUCACAACACGGGGACCUAAAGGGGAUGUCUAGAGUGGGCGGGGAUUACAGAAGAGGGUAUCUUUCCAGCUUUCAGAAAACCACGAGGGCUGACCGAAGAAGAUGGGAUAUCCUGACUGAACUCUGAAAGCUGAGUAGAAUUUAAUUAUUGAAGGUGUGCAGGAGAGGGAGGAGCAGGGAACUGGGAUCACAAGAAGGAUAAGCAACCUAUGCAAAAGGCCUAGGGGGAAGAGAGCUUACUGCAGGUGAACUGACUGAAACGGCAGUUUAUGCUUUAGGACAAUAGAUAGGGUGCCAGUGGGAAGAUUUUGAGUGGAAAAUAAUACACAUCACUUGAAUUUUUGUGUCAAAAUAUCACCUCUGGAUGCAGUGUCCAGAGAAUAGUCCAAAGGAGAAAAAAACUGAAGGCAGAAAGAUUAGGAGGCUGUUGAAUUAAUUCCUUUAUUUCUAUUUUUUAAAAUUUAAGAAACUCAAUGUGGGAUUUCCCAUCACUGCAGUGAGAAGUUUCAAAGAGCCAUAUAUAUAUAACGUUUCUGCCAAUCAGGAACUGCUUUUAAUGAGCUCAGUUUAGAUAUAUAUCUUAUUAGUUUGACUGCCAUAAAAAAUACCACAGACUGGGUGGCUUCAAGAAUAGAAAUUUAUUGGCCGAAUGUGGUGGUUCAUGCCUGUAAUCCCAGCACUUUUGGAGGCCAAGGUGAGCAGAUCACGAGGUCAGGAGUUCAAGACCAGCCUAACCAACAUGGUGAAACCUCGUCUCUGCUAAAUUACAAAAAUUAGCCAGGCAAGGUGGCAGGUGCCUGUACUCUCAGCCACUCAGGAGGCUGAGGCAGGAGAAUCACUUGAACCCGGGGGCCAGAGGUUGCAGUGAACCAAGAUCAUGCCACCACACUCUACCUUGGGCUACAGAGCGAGACUCCAUCUCCAAAAAAAAAAAAAAAGAAUAAAAACUGUGCAUAAUAGUAAACUCCCCUGCAGUUUUGUAAUGUGUUGAGCCCAAAUAAGGAUAAGUAUAGGGCACUAUGAAAACACAAAAAAAAAGACACCGAAGCCCAAGCUAGAAAUUGAGGAGAGGUUGGUUCAUGGGUUCAAAAAUAUAGUUAGAUAGAAGGAAUAAGGAAGCCCUAAUGUACAGGAGCACACUAGGGUGGUAUGCUUAACAGUAAUUUGUUGUAUACUUCAAAAUAGCUGGAAGAGAAGAUUCGAAAUGCCAUCAACACAAAGACAUGAUAAGGGCUUGAAAUGAUGAAUAUCCCAAUUACCAUGAUUUGCUCAUUACACAUUUUUCACCUCAACUUCACUGAGUCCUCCUUGACCCCACGUCCUUUUCAUAACUUCAUCCAGGACAGUGCUUUAUACAUUGUAUAUGAAAAGCAACUCACCAUCCAUUGGUAAGUCUUUGAACAUCAAACAGGAAAAAGAUGCAUAGAAGCUUUCACCUUUUGUUAAUCUGUUAAUCAUCAUCUAUUUAAUCAGUAAACAUUUUCUGAGCACCUCGCUAUAUAAGGUACUUUCCAGAUACCUGUGUGGGAAGAAAAGAGGAUUUGCACAGACAGAGUUAAGUGUCAUUGCACACAUUUCCAUCAUAGCAGUUAAAGGUGAAUUCUCUUUCCCUCUUCUGCAUUAACAACGUAAGUCUGCAUGGAGCUCACAUUGACUAUUUCCUUAUGCACUAGAUAAGCUUCAGCUUGGUUGAGUAGAUACCACCACCAAAUAAAUUCCCUUGGGGUUUAAAAUGUGUGUCGUGCCAGUGACCUAGCAUAAACACAGGCAAAUAGUAUCUGCAGGCCAAAGGUAAAUCUGUAUAUUUGCUCUCUGAGGUAUACUCUUUGAAAAUUCCAAGAAUGAUCUAUCUUAGGAAUAGAUGUUUCUCUUGAAAGAAAAAUGGUACAUCUCUAGUAAGUAAUCGAGGAUACGUGAGCAUAUUAUAUACACACACAUACAUAUCUACUACUUUUCAUUUCUAAAACAGAAGAAUUCUCAAAGGACCAUUUUCUGAAACACUAAAAUUCUCAAAAAGGUUCCCAGAACAGCACAUUACUAUAACUUGACACCAUGUUUUAGAUAUUACCCAAUAAAUGUUUGCAAGGUAGCAAUAAACCUUUUUUCUAAUAGAGGGCUUCAUGCUGUGCUACCAAAGUGCAGAGGAAAUGACUGAGCAGAAAGCUCAGAUACAGUAUGCAAAGGCAGCAUCAAAGCCCUUCCAAGGCCAGUUCAUUACAGUACCUCUGAGGAGGUUCAGAGCCUGCCCUGAGUCCUUCCUCAUUAUAGGUCACUUGCUUCAAGCCUUUCUAAUAACCCCUAAAUAUGGAAGCACUCAGCAAGGCCACACUUGAGGUAGUCAGAGGUGUUUGGUCCACUGGGUUGAGUAGCUGAAAGUUGGAAUGCCUUGCAAGCCUACUUAUAAUUAAAGUGUCCCUUCUGCCUAUUUUUCUUGACAGUCCUACAGCUGCUGACAUUAGCCAGCUCUGCAUGUCCCCAGCUUCAAGUGCCAACUGCAACCCAAUACGCUUGAGAUUUGAGAAUGUCAUUUUCUUAAAAGGUUAUAGACGCAUUCAGGCAGAAGUCCACCUUUUAAAAGAGGAAAUAAGUUAUUAUUAUGCAAACAAUUUUCUCUGCAUUGGGGCCAAGAGCUUUUCAAGUUAACUGAUUUUAAUUUGCUAAAAACGAAUGUGACAGUCUGCCUCUUAUUCAGGAAAGGGAAGCUUUGAAACUGAGAUUGAAGUUUGAGCUAUCAUGCUUGGCACAAAUGCUUAGAAAAACAUCACACAGGUUUGAAGCGAGUUUACCUCUGUGGUUCAGACAUAAAUCUAUUGAAGUCAAAGACGUUCACUGCUUUCACUAACUUUGGGCAGACUGUGUGUCACUAAUCUGGUUAAUAAGAUUAGGAGUUAAACACACUUGCACGGCUUUAUUUUCUACUAGGCUCUAGUUACAUUUACAAACAUUUACAGCUUCUUUUUACUUAGAGAUCGGGCUCUUCUAAAAUAGAGCUGAAAUGACCAUUCUGAUAUUUUUCUUAGAUUCACAAGAUGUGAAGAAGAAGGAAAUGAAAUAAAAAACAAUUUGUGUUUGUUUGCUUGUGUAUCAUGAAAUCCUAUGGUGAACCCAGAUUUUGUAACCCAAGCUUUUACGGAUUAUGUCUUAUUUGUACGUAGCAAUUGGUACAAUGUCAAGAAAAUAGAAGUUGUGUAUGUCUAUAUCCUUAAUCAAAAAAAAAAAACAAAACCCUGCAUUUACUAUUAUGUGUCAUUCCCUGACUUACAUUUCCUUCCCUUAAGUGACAUUCACCUUACAAGGUGAAUCAGUGGGGAGUGUGUUCAGCUGCAAGUCAUAUAAAAUGAGAAUGAUCUUAAUUCAGAGAGUACCUCAAAUAUAUCUGAAAUCUGGAGGUAGACACCUGUGAGCAUGAAUUCAAGGGCACGAUGGUUGACAUCUCUGCAGCUGUUUUGAUCUUUCCUUAAUGAUGUUGUUUCACAUUGCAAAAUGAUGACUAGGCAGCUGAAAGGGAAAAGGAAGGCAACCAGUAUGUCAGCUCCCGUUCAUCAGCAAAUGAAAACUUUUUCCAGAAAUGCUUAGCAGAUUUCUUCUCUUGUCUUCUCAUCCAGAACUGUGUUAUUCAGCAUCUCUGGCUAGAAGGGAGGCUAUAAAAGCAAGAAAAUGACUAGAUCUUGAUGAUGGUUCAAAGAAAUGGUGAUGUGUUGUUUGAUUUGGACACAUUUUCUCUCUAAACAAAUUUGAAGUUGUUUGCAAGGAAAAAUCGGAUUAGAAAAUGACUAUUAAGUAUCUAAUAUUGUUUAUUAUAGGAAGUUAAAACAAAGUUAGAGACCAUAUAUAAGAGAUGCCCUAACAUUAACUAGAACACUGUGCUUGACAAACAGGAGGUUUGGUAAAUGUAAUGUUAUCAAUGAAUAAUAAACAUGAAACAUAAUGAGCUUGUGAGUAUGUAUGUAUAUUAGUGUAAGUAUUUGCUCUGUGGAUGUGACAUGUAUGUUUUAUUUUUAAUUUGUGAGUAAAUGUUUAUUAAAAAGGAUAAUAGUAUCCAUCUCUACAAAAAGAGAUGAAAAUUCACCUUUGGAGUUGAUUUCAUUAAUUUUAGGAAACAACUGAGUGGAUGACAUACAUAUGUAUCUUAGUCAGUUUCAGGUAUUACAGCAAACUACCAUAGAUUGGGCAGCUUAAACAACGAACAUUUACAUUCAUAAUUCUGGAGGCUGGGAAGCCCAGUUUAAGACCCAAACAGAUUCUGUUUCCGGAGAGGAGCCUCUUCAGGUUGCAGAUGACCAACUUCUUUCUGUGUCCUCACAUGGCAGAAACAAGACAAGAGAGCUCUCUGGGGUCUCUUUUAUAAGGACACUAGCCUCAUUCAUAAAGAUUUCACCUUCAUGAUCUAUUUACCUCCCAAAGGUCCCACCUCCCAAUACCAACACACUGGGGUUUGGAAUUUCAAUAAAUGGAUUGGAGGGGAACACAAACAUUCUCUCUAUAAUAAUAUGUCAUCUAAUAUAAUAAUAUGUCAUCUCUAUAAUAAUAUUACAUCUACUAUUCUGGGAUAGGGGAGCUCCUUAAGCAGAUGGAGUCUUAUCAUCACUCCCAAUAACCACUCUUCGAGGUUUCUGAAGCGGAAGGGGCAAAUUGGCUUUGAAAGAAUGAGGUCUGCAGUCAGGCUCUUCAUGAUGUUGCAUGCAAUGAAAUAUGUUAAGUUGACUACUGUAUCCUAGACCAGUAGCCUAGACGCAACUUCUAGAUCUAGUUUACUUGAGAGAGGAGAAACUUUGGGUUGAUGACAGAACCCCUUUUAAAAUGUGGAUGCUGGCUGUGGGUAGGCCUGGAGGAAGUGGCUUUGCAUGGGAGUUGAAAGCACAGGUCACUAAGAGCUUAUGCUGAAGUGUAUGAGACAUAGUGUUAGAGAAAAAUGGUCCCACCUUGGAGACGGAUCCUGUUUUCACAAGCAAGGAAAAGGUCAUUAAUAUCUCAGGAGAGUGUUUUAUAAAUAUACAAUAAGCAGGCUAAAUAAUCAUCCCUAUAGGAGAUUGGGGGCAGGGGAUGGGGAAACAACUUACCAGGAGGGUGUGUUUAAAGGUUUCAUGGAGAAGACUGAGCUUGAGAUGAACCAUGAAUGAUAGUUGUGACUUUUGGAAGUGAGAAAGGGAAAAUAAUAUUCUAGCUGGAAGGAAAAUGUGUGGACAUUUUCCUUAGGUGGUUAAGAGUCUAGUGUAUGUGAAAAAUAGUGAAGAUGUGAGGAGGAUUCUCUUAGAGAAUAAUGGGAAAUAUUUGGAAAGGUCAGUUUACUCCAGGAAGUGAAUUUUCUACUGAGGAUUUCAGAUUUUUGCCCAUUCAGCAACAGGAAAGCUUUGGAGAGUUUCAAUUUCAAUUUGAAAUGAUAAAACAAUGUUUAAUGUGCUGGUAGAAUGCAGAAUGGAGUGAAUUAAAUAAAUUUAAGCCACAGAUAUGACUUAGAAGUGUACUUCAAUACUUUAAACACAAAAGGUAAAAGCCUGAACUUGGGAGUGGCAAUGAGAAUAAAAAGGAAGGAAACAAUGUGAACAACAUUGCAAAGAAAACUGAAAAAAAAAACACACACACAAUAGUGGCUCACACCUGUAACCUAGCACUUUGGGAGGUGGAGGCGGGCAGAUUGCUUGAGCCCAUGAGUUCAAAACCAAUCUGGACAACAUGGUGAAACCCUGUCUCUAUAUAAAAAUACAAAAAUUAGCUGGGUGUGGGUGGUCCAUACCUAUAUUCCCAGCUUCUCAGGAAGCUGAGGUGGAAGGAUCACUUGAGCUUAGUGGUCAAGGCUGUAGUGAGCUGGAAGCACGCUGCUGCACUCCAGCCUGGGCAACAGAGUAAGACCUUGUCUCUCUCUCUCACACACACAUAUACACACACUCACAAUUAAAUUGAACACACACAAUUAAAUUGAACUAACUAAUUAAAUAAUUUGAAAAGAGAGAAGUAAAAAAGUACUGAGCUUUUGAAACUGGAUGUCCAGAAAAGGAUAAAUUUUUGCUUUAUCAGUUAAAGUAGACUGCUAGGACAAUUAAAUACAUAGAUAUAAUGAAGUUUACUUCUUGCUUAUGUGAUUUUCUUAGCGAGGAUGGGUCUCUUCAAAUGGUUCUUCAAGGAUUUCUCACUCUUGAGGUUCUACUCAACAGUGUGGCUCCUCCAAGUCGUGAGGCUUCGUUAUCAUUUGCUUCCAGCCAGUAGAAGGGGAAGGUGAGUGGAGGCUGAGCACAGCAGGUUUCAAUGAGCCAACCCUGAAAGAGCACCAUUACUUCUGUUCUCACAACUAACAACAGGGUAGUCUGGGACAGACCAUCUAACUCUGUUUUGGCAAACACCCAACAUGCAGUCUCUUCCACAUUCACUUUAUGAGAGGAAUACUUAUAUUAUCAAAAUAAUUUGUUUUGAAAUAAAAAAAUGUGACAUUUGUACAGUUCUGUACAUUUAAACAGAACCUAGUUUAAUUUUGAAAAAGAGAUAGGAAUAUUUUAUUUUGAUUCUGCAUGCAGCACAUGUGUUUUGGGGGCCCUCAGAGUGUGGUGGCACCUUUUAGAAAAUGACACCUAAUUCAUGGCUUUUGUUUGGUCUGAUGUCGAAGAAUCUUUUGCUUCCUACAAUUAGGAUUCAUUUAAAGAUGAGAGAAAGUGUGGAUCAAAAAAAGAAAAAACUGAAGGGGUUGAGAAAAGAGAUUUGGGGGAGGAGAUUUAGAAGAAUAUUGCAAAUGGAAUUGCUUAAAAGCAGCAUUGUGUAUAGUGUUAGGGACUCCCUAUUCCAUUUAUUUGUUUGCUGUUUGUUGUCAUUGUUGUUUUAAGAGACAAGCUCUCAGUCUGUCACCCAGUCUGGAAUGAGAUGGCUUCUUCUUAUUUCACUGCAUCCUCAAACUCCUGGGCUCAAGUGAUCCUCCUGCCUCAGUCUCCCAGCAGGUACAACCACCAAACCCAGCUAAUUUUUUGUAAAGACUCAAUGUCACUAUGUUGUCCAGGCUGAUUUCAAACUCCUGGUCUCAAUGAUCCUCCUGCCUCAGCUUCCCAAAGUGCUGGGAUUACAGGCAUGAGCCACUGUACCCAGCCUUAUUUGGUGGCUUCUCUUCUUGUGUUAAUGUUGUCACUUUCUCCCUUGACUUCAUGACUUUGGGCAAUAAUCCCUCCAUAAUGCUAUUUCGAUACUUAAAAUAAUAAAAACAAUAGUAUGGACCUUAUAGGGUUAUAAUCAAGAGUAAAUGGUUUACUGUGAGUUAGAUGCAUAGCAUGAUACCUGUCACCCAGGAAAAGCUCCAUAAAGAGGUAAAUGUCUGCUAUUAUUGCUCAGAGAGAAUAAAAGGAGCAUGCCUCAAAAUGUCUUCAAAAUCACGACAAAGAAUCCAUAUCCUUUCUCACGUUCAUACAGAACCUCCCCUAACUGAAAAGUUCAUCCCUAAGGAUGCUGUUACUUACGUAACACUUGUAUGGUGAUACAAAAUGAGAAGUGUCCUUUGGGAGCCUCCAUGAGAGUCCAGUGUUACCGACACAUGCAAGAUGCACAACAAAGACAAAUCAAAAUGAAGUCUCCACGCUAAGAAUUUACAUUAAGUACAACAAAAGAGAUAAAUGCAUUUCUUUUGGUUUACUUCUUGAGAUCUCUGGUAUGAUGAGUUGGCUCAAUACAUUUGCUUUUUUUUUAAAGUACCCUAUAAGACAUUAUCCAGAGACUUUUCAAUCCAAUCUAUUUGUGAUUGCAUCUUUGUGUUCAAAGAAACUAUUUUUGGAAUUGUUGGCUUAGAGUUCCAGCUCUUAGUGUUGUCAAAAUUAACUACUUAGAGACACUGGGCAGGAUGUUACUGAGUCAGCUAAUGGAACUCAUGUGUUGAAGAAAAAUUUCUUUACAAAAAGAAUGGAAGGUUAGGGGUAGGGGAAGCACCCGUGGAAUAAUACUGUGAUGUAGAAUAUGCCUUACUACAUUGGGAUCUGAAAAGGUUUCAUAUCAUCUUCCUUCUUGAAAGGAAAUUAAAUUGCCGUAAGAGGCUAUGCUAUGCUAAAACAGUAGCCAUCUUUUGUUUAUUUUUAAUUAAAUUCCAUCCAGAUAAGGGAUCCUCAUCUUCUUUCCUAUGGGCUUUUUGGAUUGCCACUGAUCCAUGUACCAGAUAAACAAAACAUCUUCCAAAUUCAAUCCAUUUGGGAUAGCUACUUAAAAGCAGUGUUUUAAGAAUUAGAUAACUCCUAAUAUCUUUUGGUAGGGAAAGAGAAAUUCCUAUUUAUUUCAGUGGCUGAAAUUACCUCUGAGGCCUGACUGAAAAGAUAUCCCCUCCCCCCCAAAAAAGAGUAUUUAAUCUAAUUCUCAGUACUUACACUAGGAAAUGUAAGCAGCUGUCUGCUGUCAUUUGAAGGGCUCUGUGACAGCUCCCUACUCUUUAAAAUAAGCAAACAAAGAAACAAAAAUAAAAACCACUUACAUCCAUUAGCCCUUGAAGGUGCUCACAAUUCUCACAUGCAUGCAUUCAUACAUUCACUGAUUACUGAGCACACAUUCACUGAUACAUCACGCCAUGUGCUAGGCACUAGAAGUACAAGCCCUGUUCUCACAAGCUCACAGUCUAACCAUACCAGGCAACCUUUGGUAGAAGAAUACUUUCCAGACUGUGUUCUGCAAAACAAGUUUACAGCAUAAUAUAAAUUGUGAUCUAUAAAAAUGGUAAAGACUUCUGUGAGCAAAAACACUUGAGAAAUAGGUUAAAAACCAUAUAUGCAAUUUUCAUUUCUUGAGUACUUCUCAGCACCUUUAAUAUGCCCCCAGACACCAUCGAGUACGUGUCGAACGCAGAGGGAAGGAUGGAUGGAUGAGAGGGAAGGAUGAAUGCAGCAGGGUUUGGAUAAGACCCUAACUAGAAUGGUCAGACUUUAUCGGCCCUUUCCAUUUUUCCCAUUAUCACUGAAUUUCAGUUUGAUUAUGGCUCCUAAGAUUUGCAAGAAAUGCCAACAUUAAGUUUUAGUUCUGUCUCUUUAUAGGGACCUAGUCCUAUAUUAUUGCAUGUAACUAAGCUAUGCCAGUUCCCAUCGCUGGCACUGCGUGGUGACAACAGGGAUAGUGAAAAGGGCAUGAGUUUGAGAGUUAAGACAGCCUUAGCACACUGACUGGCACUCAAUGGAGCCUCAAUAAAUAUUUGUUAAAUAAAUGAGCAAAUAUCUGGACUUAAAUUCCAGCUCUGCCAUUUCCUAGCUGUUAUUUGAACAUUCGGAGCCCUCGUUUAGUCAACUGUAACAUGGGACAAUGGUAUUCAUUUUAAAAGAAAGCGAUCAGUAAGUCAGCUCUUUUCACGUCUAGUGGAAGUAAAUCUUGCUUUUCUCUUUUGGAACUAUCUUACCUAAGUUUGUAUGACUCCUCCUAUUAUUUCUUUCAUGGUUGUAAUACAUACACUGACUAGGUCACUUUUUCCAAGUCUGGGCUUCACUAUUUGUUCUUGACAGCAUUAAAACUUUCAGAGAAAUCUGAAGGACCAAUUCAAAGGUCACUGCAGUUCUUUAUUUCUGGAUUCCAUCUUUAUUCUACGAUUAUUUAAUGAAUGCUGAGUAUUCUGAAGGUUCUGUGCUAGGCACUGAGGAUAUGGCAGGCAAGGGUCCCACCCUCAUGAAUAUUAGCAGGAGAAACCAGUGGGACCCAGAAUUAAAGAACAUUCCUCUCUAGGCUGAAAAAUCCUUGAGUAUCCAGCUUAUGAAUAGAAAAAAUAACCACAGCAAAGCAUAUCAUUUGCAGGACUUCAGUACACCAAGAAUAAUGGGAAGGUGUCAAAAGUAAAAGAAUAACACAGGACACACACAGAGAAGCAGAAUGCCAACAGCCUUCUCACCAGCAACAUCAGUGCAGGAUGCCUAGGGAGAAAUGCCUUCAAAAGUCUUUUAUGUGUCAUCACUGUUGAUUAAGAAAUUAUUGGAAGACCUGUACCAGCAAAAUGAGAAAAACAAUAAUAGAAGAAGACGUAAAACCCAGGAAACAUUAGUUUUAACCCCCAAAAAUCAGUGAAACUAAGUCCUGGGGUGACAACUACAGAGCAGUUUCACAGAGGAAACUGUCCAGAUUGAAGCAAGAGGAAGAAAUCCCUGGAAGAGAGGUUUUCAUGAAAAGUGUGAGGACCUAAAGGAAUAGAUAAUGCAGUGAUACAUUCUGAAAAGUGUAUAAAAUUAUGCAGGAGAAAAUACUGUCCAUAGUCAUAAGGAGAAUCACCACUUAGUUCUGCAGUGAACGAAGAUUAACAUUGUAUGAUAAACCAAGCAUUUGCACUAGUUUCUUAAGGUACCAAAGAAAGACACUAUUGAGAAAAUAUACCUGAGAAAUAUGAAUUCUUGCACUUCAAUGCAAAUUGAGGGAUGGGUUAUUUAGAACUUUCUAGCAAGGGUCAUUGCCAUGGCAUAAACUGUGUGGCUUCAAACAAUAGCAAUCUGUUUUCUCCCGGUUCUACGGUCUUAAAAUUUAAAACCAAGAUGUCGGCAGGGCCAUGUUCCCUCUGGAACUUGAAGUAGAUUCUUUCCUUGCCUCCUCCUAGAUUUGGGUGGUGGCCAGUAAUCUCGAGCGACCCAGCUGAAUCACUGUACUCUCUUCCUCUGUCACCACAGGGUUCCUCCCUGUGUCUGUCUUCACACAGUGUCUAUCUCUCCUUUUAAGGACAGCAGUCAUUUUUAAUCCAUUUUGACAGGUAAAUUUUGCUCUGAUUAAUUCUGCUAUUUUUUAAAAUAAAAUUUUGAGAUAGUUUUGGAUUUAUAGAUAAUCUGUGACGAUAAUAGAGUUCCCCGGUACUCCAGUCAGUUUCUCCUAUUAUUAACGUGUUAUUAACAUACAUUUGUCACCACUAAUGAACCAAUAUUAAUAAUUAACUAAAAUUUAUUUUUUAUUCAGAUUUGCUUAGUGUUUCCCUAAGUUCUUUUUCUGUUCGCGGAUACCACAUAUAUUUAGUUAUUGUCUCCUUAAGCUCCUCUUGGUCGUGACAGUUUCUCAGACCUUCCUUGUUUUUGAGGACCAUGACAGUUUUGAGGAGCACUGGUCAGGGAUUUUUGUUGAAUGUCCCUCAGCUGGGAUGUGCCCCAUGUUUUCCUCAUGAGUAUGGUACAGGACAGGCUGGUCUUAGCCCAGGAGAGUUCUUGGCUUUGCCCAGUAACGAAUCCAGGAGUGAGCUGGUGCUGUUAGACAUCAACCUUCUGUUGAAGGGCACUGCUCCUUGUAGAGUAGGGCCAACUCAAAGUCAGUUCAGUUGUCUUCUAUUGUUUUUGUUUUGUGAGGCAGCCUUAUUAGCACAACCCCGUGUCUAGUAAUACCGUUAUUAUUGGACUGAACUAAUAUACUCUAAAUUUUACAACUUUGAUAGGAAAAAGUAGAAACAUGAAAAACAAUCUAUGUUAAAGCUGCAAAUAGUUUUUUUUUUCAUAGCAAUGGACUUAUUUGUCAUGCACAGGUAGCAAAGAUCAUCAUUUAAAGUUGAGCUUUUUGAGGGCAAUUGUUCUAAGGAAUUACACUGUAUAACAUUCUAUAAAAGAUUGUUCAUGGUAUGGGCAGAUAUUAUGGAUGAGACUGCAACCAGAGCCACUGAUACACUAUAAGUAGUAUAUUGAUUUUUCUCUAAAUAAAUAUGAAUCUAACCCUGAAUCCGUUCAAUCUCAUUUAUUACUGGGUCUGACAAAAGUCUUAAGAGUUUUAAAUACUCCUUUCUGGACACCAGGAAUGGGUGUCCUUUGUUUCAUAAUGCAAGGGCUCUUCAUGACCAGUGGCUUUGCUACCUCGAUCCCAUAAUUGAAACACAGGAAUCGCUGCCAAGGAAUCAUAUGGCAAAGUGUGGCCUUCCAAGGCAUGUCAGGCAGUCAUCCCUCUGGGCCUUGCCCUGCACCUUUUCAAAUUGGCUUCUUUUACUCAGUAAUAUGCAUUUAUGUUUCCCCCAUUUUUUUUUCUUGGCUUGAUAGCUCAUUUCCCUUUAGCACUGAAUAAUAUUCCAUUGUCUGGAUGUAUUUCAGUUUAUAUAUCCAUUCACCUACUGAAGGACAUCUUGGUCGCUUCCAAGUUCUAGCAAUUACAACUGAAGUUGCUAUAAACAUCCAUGUGCAGGUUUCUGUGUGGACAUAAGUUCUCAGCUCCUUAGGGUAAAUAUCAAGAAGAGUGAUUGUGAUUGCUGGAUUGCGUAAGAGCAUGUUUAGUUUUGUUAAGAAAACUAAACUGAACUACCAUGAGGAGAGCUUAAUGGCCUCAGGUGCUGACACUGAGUAGAAGCCAGGACCUUUUCUCCUUUACUGUAUCAAGAAUUCUGUUUUUCAACUGGCUUUUGGAUACUCUUCCUUAGCUUCCCCCUGCCCAGGAUACUUAAUGGGUUUAAUUAAGUAACUGCAGCUGAUGAAACAAAUAGGACCCUGACUUCAUCGGCUUCUGCAUUCUCCCCUGCAGGAAUAUUUGGGGCAUGGAAAUCUAAAAUGCCUGGUUAAGUAUUUAGAAUCAGAAAAAAAAAAAAUGGGAUCAAACCACAACUUAAAACCUCAAAAAAAGUUAUCCUGACAUUUUCUUUGCUUGUAAAUUUGUUUCAGUCAAGAGAAUGUACUACCUAUUUUUUUUUUUUUUUUUUUUUUGAGAAGGAGUUUUGCUCUUGUUGCCCAAGCUGGUGUGCAAUGGUGCAGUCUUGGCUCACUGCAACCUCCACCUACCAGGUUCAAGCGAUUCUCCUGCCUCAGCCUCCCAAGUAGCUGUGAUUACAAGCAUGUGACACCACUAAUUUUUGUAUUUUUAGUAGAGAUAGGGUUUCACCAUGUUGACCAGGCUGAUCUUGAACUUGUGACCUCAGGUGAUCCACCCGCUUUGGCUUCCCAAAGUGCUGAGAUUACCAGCAUGAGUCACCACGCCCGGCCUGUACUUCCCAUUUUAAUGUUCCCCACUGAGAGGCUGGAUCCUAGGUCUCUGUCCAGAGUGGGACAACUCCCAUUCACAAAUAAAAGAUAAAGGGUAGCACUUCCCACACAUAAAACUACCCUAUCUGUGUGGAUAUAUCCUGUAGGCUCUCUAGGAUAUAUAAUACUCUAAAUUUUACGUAAUUUAUGUAAUACAUACACUGACCCAAUGAGAACUUGAACCUCCCCAGUCCUUCCAGCACCGAUUCUAGCCCACCCUAGUGGUUCUGCCUCAGUCUGUGUUUAAAGACUAAAGAUUCUUAAACACAGACUAUUUUUUAGAGCAGUGUUGGGUUAACAAAACUGAGCAGAAAAUACAGAGAGUUCCCUUACACUUCCUGCCCCUACACAUGCCCAGCCUCCCCAGCUAUCCACCUCCUCCACCAGAGUGGUACAUUUGUUAUGACUGAUGAGCCUGCAUCAAUAUCACCCAAAACCCAUAGUUUAUAUUACCGUUCACUCUUUGUGUUGUACUUUCUAUGGGUUUGGACAAAUGCUUAGUGGCAUGCAUCUGCCAUUAUAGUAACAUAUAAAGUAGUUUCACUGCUCUAAAAAUCCUCUGUGCCCUUGCCUAUUCAUUCCUUUCUCCACCUCCUCUCACCUCUGGCAACCCAUGAUCCUUUAAUUAUUUCUAGAAAAGUUUGCCUUUUCUAGAAUGUCAUAUCGUUGGAAUCAUACAGCAUGAAGCCUUUUCAAAUUGGCUUCUUUUACUCAAUAAUAUGCAUUUAUGUUUCCCCCAUUUUUUUUUUUCUUGGCUUGAUAGCUCAUUUCCCUUUAGCACUGAAUAAUAUUCCAUUGUCUGGAUGUAUUUCAGUUUAUAUAUCCAUUCACCUACUGAAGGACACCUUGGUCGCUUCCAAGUUCUGGCAAUGACAACUGAAGUUGCUAUAAACAUCCAUGUGCAGGUUUCUGUGUGGACAUAAGUUCUCAGCUCCUUAGGGUAAAUAUCAAGAAGAGUGAUUGUGAUUGCUGGAUUGGGUAAGAGCAUGUUUAGUUUUGUUAAGAAACUGCCAAACCGUCUUCCAACUUUUAGGGAUUUUAAAACUAGCAGAAAGUCCAGUUGGUCCUCGACCAAUUCUAUAGCCAUGUCUCUGCAUCUUCAGAGUCCCUGCGCCAGUGAUCGGGAGGGAGUUCUCAGGACUAUGGUGGGGAGAGGACCACAGAUUUUGGCAGGAAGAUGUGGAGCAAAGCCCCUGAGGAAAGAAACUGACGCGUGAACUCCAAGAACAGCCACGCCAAGUAACAGAUGAAAGUCACUCACAGUGUUAAAUAUUCAUUUGUUACCCCAACAAGAAAAGUCUUGUUGAAAUUCAGAAAAUGCAGAAUUACAGUAUUCAAGAUUUAAUUUCACCAAAUAAAACGUUUGUGGGGAUACUGCUGUAUGA
This is a non-coding RNA of Callithrix jacchus (white-tufted-ear marmoset), 16601 nucleotides long. The record is from RefSeq and is a predicted model, not a curated record. NCBI's taxonomy places the organism in Eukaryota, Metazoa, Chordata, Mammalia, Primates, Cebidae.